AGAGUUUGAUCAUGGCUCAGAACGAACGCUGGCGGCAUGCCUAACACAUGCAAGUCGAACGAAGCCCCGACCUCGGUUGGACGCUUAGUGGCGCACGGGUGCGUAACGCGUGGGAAUCUGCCCUUGGGUUCGGAAUAACAGUUAGAAAUGACUGCUAAUACCGGAUGAUGUCUUCGGACCAAAGAUUUAUCGCCCAAGGAUGAGCCCGCGUAGGAUUAGGUAGUUGGUGGGGUAAAGGCUCACCAAGCCGACGAUCCUUAGCUGGUCUGAGAGGAUGAUCAGCCACACUGGGACUGAGACACGGCCCAGACUCCUACGGGAGGCAGCAGUGGGGAAUAUUGGACAAUGGGCGAAAGCCUGAUCCAGCAAUGCCGCGUGAGUGAUGAAGGCCUUAGGGUUGUAAAGCUCUUUUACCCGGGAUGAUAAUGACAGUACCGGGAGAAUAAGCUCCGGCUAACUCCGUGCCAGCAGCCGCGGUA
This 479-nucleotide ribosomal RNA is filed under the name uncultured Pseudomonadota bacterium. RNAcentral describes it as "bacterial SSU rRNA". It matches the Rfam family "Bacterial small subunit ribosomal RNA", at positions 8 to 522 of the family's 1533-position model. The record is from RNAcentral. Lineage: Bacteria; Pseudomonadati; Pseudomonadota.